RNAcentral lists this ribosomal RNA (228 nucleotides) under uncultured bacterium. RNAcentral's name for it is "partial 16S ribosomal RNA". It matches the Rfam family "Bacterial small subunit ribosomal RNA", at positions 524 to 751 of the family's 1533-position model. The record is from RNAcentral.
UACGUAGGGUGCAAGCGUUGUCCGGAAUUAUUGGGCGUAAAGAGCUCGUAGGCGGCCUGUCACGUCGGCUGUGAAAACUCGGGGCUCAACCCCGAGCCUGCAGUCGAUACGGGCAGACUAGAGUCCGGCAGGGGAGACUGGAAUUCCUGGUGUAGCGGUGGAAUGCGCAGAUAUCAGGAGGAACACCGGUGGCGAAGGCGGGUCUCUGGGCAGUAACUGACGCUGGAG